CCCGGCGACCGGCGCACGGGUGAGUAACACGUAUGGAACCUGCCCUAUGCAGGGGGAUAAGCGGAAGAAAUUCCGUCUAAUACCGCAUAACACCUUUAGGAGACAUCUUCUUGGGGUCAAAGGAGGCGACUCCGGCAUAGGAUGGCCAUGCGUCGCAUUAGCUAGUCGGCGGGGUAACGGCCCACCGAGGCGACGAUGCGUAGGGGUUCUGAGAGGAAGGUCCCCCACACUGGUACUGAGACACGGACCAGACUCCUACGGGAGGCAGCAG
Molecule: ribosomal RNA, 271 nt
Filed under: uncultured bacterium
Lineage: Bacteria
Description: partial 16S ribosomal RNA
Rfam family: Bacterial small subunit ribosomal RNA
Source: RNAcentral